AUUUGACGAGUCCCGAGUUUGAGGAUCAUGUAAGUGCCUUCACUACAUAAUAAGCUUCUUCCUUUUGUUUUUCUUCCUACUCUAUUUCAUUUUCAUUUCUUCAUCUCCUUGACUUUUACAUUUUUCCCCCCUAACAUAUCUUUUGAGGCACCCAUCAUAUUUAUUAGACAUCACGAUACUAGUCUACUGUUCAAGAGUAAUGAAUGAAAAAAGAGGAAUUUCUUUUAAGAGUUCCGUUAUUCUUGGAGCUUUAUUUAGUUUUAUGAGAGAUUAGCCUUGAGAACUUGAGCUUGUUUGUUAAAGCAGCACCAACAACGGAGAAUCAUGACAGUGUUACUCACAAUACUACCACCUGUUUGAUAGAAGUUCUAAAAGAUUAAAAUUUGAUA
Molecule: unclassified non-coding RNA, 389 nt
Filed under: Hevea brasiliensis (rubber tree)
Lineage: Eukaryota; Viridiplantae; Streptophyta; Magnoliopsida; Malpighiales; Euphorbiaceae
Source: RNAcentral